RNAcentral lists this ribosomal RNA (761 nucleotides) under Acinetobacter sp. Its description in RNAcentral is "bacterial SSU rRNA". It matches the Rfam family "Bacterial small subunit ribosomal RNA", at positions 65 to 818 of the family's 1533-position model. The record is from RNAcentral. Lineage: Bacteria; Pseudomonadati; Pseudomonadota; Gammaproteobacteria; Moraxellales; Moraxellaceae.
AGCGGGGUGAUGGUGCUUGCACUAUCACUUAGCGGCGGACGGGUGAGUAAUGCUUAGGAAUCUGCCUAUUAGUGGGGGACAACAUCUCGAAAGGGAUGCUAAUACCGCAUACGUCCUACGGGAGAAAGCAGGGGAUCACUUGUGACCUUGCGCUAAUAGAUGAGCCUAAGUCGGAUUAGCUAGUUGGUGGGGUAAAGGCCUACCAAGGCGACGAUCUGUAGCGGGUCUGAGAGGAUGAUCCGCCACACUGGGACUGAGACACGGCCCAGACUCCUACGGGAGGCAGCAGUGGGGAAUAUUGGACAAUGGGGGGAACCCUGAUCCAGCCAUGCCGCGUGUGUGAAGAAGGCCUUAUGGUUGUAAAGCACUUUAAGCGAGGAGGAGGCUCUUUUGGUUAAUACCCAAGAUGAGUGGACGUUACUCGCAGAAUAAGCACCGGCUAACUCUGUGCCAGCAGCCGCGGUAAUACAGAGGGUGCAAGCGUUAAUCGGAUUUACUGGGCGUAAAGCGCGCGUAGGCGGCCAAUUAAGUCAAAUGUGAAAUCCCCGAGCUUAACUUGGGAAUUGCAUUCGAUACUGGUUGGCUAGAGUGUGGGAGAGGAUGGUAGAAUUCCAGGUGUAGCGGUGAAAUGCGUAGAGAUCUGGAGGAAUACCGAUGGCGAAGGCAGCCAUCUGGCCUAACACUGACGCUGAGGUGCGAAAGCAUGGGGAGCAAACAGGAUUAGAUACCCUGGUAGUCCAUGCCGUAAACGAUGUCUACUA